GGCGGUAUUUUAGUCUAUUCAGAGGAACCUGUUUUAUAAUCGAUAAUCCACGAUGGACCUUACUUAAAUUUGUAUUCAGUUUAUAUAUCGUCGUUAUUAGAAAAUUUUUUUAGAAAGUUAAUUUUCAAGAAUUUUAAAGAGAAAAUAUAUCAGAUCAAGGUGUAGCUUAUGUUUAAGUAAAAAUGGGUUACAAUAAAAUUAUUUAAAUGAAUAUAAAUUUGAAAUAUUUAUUGAAGGUGGAUUUGAUAGUAAAAUUAUAAAGAUUAGUAAUUUGAUUUUAGCUCUAAAAUAUGCACACAUCGCCCGUCACUCUUACUAUUAAGGUAAGAUAAGUCGUAACAUAGUAGAUGUACUGGAAAGUGUAUCUAGAAUGCAAUUUAAAGCUUAUAAAGUAAAGUAUUUCAUUUACAUUGAAAGGAUUUUUGUGCGAAUCAAUAUAAAUUGAUUAUAUUUUAUUUAUUAAUUAUAUUUUUUUUUUUUAU
This 482-nucleotide ribosomal RNA is filed under the name Blaesoxipha setosa. Its description in RNAcentral is "partial 12S ribosomal RNA". The stretch from base 1 to 376 matches the Rfam family "Microsporidia small subunit ribosomal RNA", at positions 789 to 1311 of the family's 1311-position model. The record is from RNAcentral. Lineage: Eukaryota; Metazoa; Arthropoda; Insecta; Diptera; Sarcophagidae.